CAGGUAGCGUCUUGCCCGCCGCCCGCCCGCCCGCCGGGGGCCCGGACCCUGGAGCGAGGGAGGGAGGGCCCGGGACCUGCGAGUUCCUGAAAUGCUGCUCCUGGAGUCGGGCCCCGUAGCGCUCCCGGUUCAGACCUCUGACCCUCUUCUUCCUAAAGCUCCAGGUUAUAGGCACCAGAGGAAUUCUCGCAACUCCCGAAGGUCCGCCCCUUCUUCCUCGUCAAGGACUGGCUUUAGGAGCUUCCGCUCCCCGCAAAAUGGGAGGCAGCUGUUCCAGGUGGAAGCAGAGGCGGCUCAAGGAGAUCAGGCAGCUGCCAUGGAGAUCCUGUUGGAACCUGAGUCAGGCUUGGCCACUGCUCUGUUCAAGACCCAUGAAUGGUACCACCUUGCUCAGAGGAAAAGCCAGAGUCAUCACUGUGACAAGGCCUUCCACCCCCUUACCGCCCCUCUCCCCUUCACAGACUCUGCCCCAGGUACACCAGCCUCAUUGCUGCUCUUCCAACACAGACACAUCCAAACUCUCUGACCAGGUGCUCAAAGGUGCCACCUGUCAUAAAGCCAAGUCCUGCUACCUGGGCGUCAGCCUCUGGGCUCUAUUUUGUUCUACUUGCUCACGGUCAACCACCUCACACCAAAGGAAGCUGUGGAGGCUGCAGAAGUUCCUGGGGGCUUGGAUCUGCCCAAGCCAUUAAGCUGGGGCUGGGGGUCAAAGGCACUGCGACUACCAGGGGACAGGAAGGCUAACAGUGUGGGGCUAUUUUUUGAAAGUGUGGGGCCAAAGGUAAGCUUCUGCCUCUGCCUGGAUAGUGCAUCACUCAAACACUGAAACAUGGAGAGACAGGACGUCUGUGGCUUGUGUGGUCAGAACAUGGCCAGCCCAAAGCCCCCAUGUCCAUGCUUAGUGGAGGGGGGGCAGGGGUCGCUGGCUCCAGCGCAGCUGGCAUAAUGAUCCCUUCUAAAAGCCCUUUUCAUAGGGACACCAAUCUACAGAGGUGACCACUGCACAGCUGGGCAUUGUCCUUCCAUUGCUCCUGUACCCCAUGUUCAGACCAUCAGCAAACCCCAUGGUUCCACCUUCAUAAGGCAUCUCAGCUGACCCCUCUUCCCGCCUCCUCCACUCCCUGGCCCGCUCAGGCCCUGCACUCCUGUCUGAUGACUGUCCCACCUGUAGUGGCUGCUUUUGUCUCCCUAUGGCCCACCACCACACGGCAGCCAGAGAGCACUUUUUAAAAAUAAAAGUCAAA
Long non-coding RNA from Phacochoerus africanus (Common warthog), 1244 nucleotides. RefSeq lists it as uncharacterized. NCBI's taxonomy places the organism in Eukaryota, Metazoa, Chordata, Mammalia, Artiodactyla, Suidae. The record is from RefSeq and is a predicted model, not a curated record. The transcript has 3 exons.